AUUGAACGCUGGCGGCAUGCCUUACACAUGCAAGUCGAACGGCAUCGCGGGAAAGCUUGCUUUCCUGGCGGCGAGUGGCGAACGGGUGAGUAACACAUCGGAACGUACCGGCUAGUGGGGGAUAACCCGUCGAAAGACGGGCUAAUACCGCAUACGCUCUUCGGAGGAAAGCAGGGGACCUUUGGGCCUUGCGCUAGUCGAGCGGCCGAUGUCCGAUUAGCUAGUUGGUGGGGUAAAGGCCUACCAAGGCGACGAUCGGUAGCGGGUCUGAGACGACGAUCCGCCACACUGGGACUGAGACACGGCCCAGACUCCUACGGGAGGCAGCAGUGGGGAAUCUUGGACAAUGGGGGCAACCCUGAUCCAGCAAUGCCGCGUGGGUGAAGAAGGCCUUCGGGUUGUAAAGCCCUUUCGGCAGGGAAGAAAUCGGCGGGGCGAAUAACCCUGCUGGAUGACGGUACCUGCAGAAGAAGCACCGGCUAACUACGUG
Molecule: ribosomal RNA, 490 nt
Filed under: uncultured bacterium
Lineage: Bacteria
Description: partial 16S ribosomal RNA
Rfam family: Bacterial small subunit ribosomal RNA
Source: RNAcentral